RNAcentral lists this ribosomal RNA (484 nucleotides) under uncultured bacterium. RNAcentral's name for it is "partial 16S ribosomal RNA". It matches the Rfam family "Bacterial small subunit ribosomal RNA", at positions 30 to 507 of the family's 1533-position model. The record is from RNAcentral.
AUUGAACGCUGGCGGCAGGCCUAACACAUGCAAGUCGAGCGGAUGAAGGGAGCUUGCCUCUGGAUUUAGCGGCGGACGGGUGAGUAAUGCCUAGGAAACAGCCUGGUAGUCGGGGAUAACGUCCGGAAAAGGGCGCUAAUACCGCAUACGACCUGCGGGAGAAAGUGGGGGAUCUUCGGACCUCACGCUAUCAGAUGAGCCUAGGUCGGAUUAGCUAGUCGGUGGGGUAAAGGCCUACUAAGGCGACGAUCCGUAACUGGUCUGAGAGGAUGAUCAGUCACACUGGAACUGAGACACGGUCCCGACUCCUACGGGAGGCAGCAGUGGCGAUUAUUGGACAUUGGGCGAAAGCCUGAUCCAGCCAUGCCGCGUGUGUGAAGAAGGUCUUCGGAUUGUAAAGCACUUUAAGUUGGGAGGAAGGGCAGUAAGUUAAUACCUUGCUGUUUUGACGUUACCAACAGAAGAAGCACCGGCUAACUUCGUG